This 488-nucleotide ribosomal RNA is filed under the name uncultured bacterium. RNAcentral describes it as "bacterial SSU rRNA". It matches the Rfam family "Bacterial small subunit ribosomal RNA", at positions 28 to 517 of the family's 1533-position model. The record is from RNAcentral.
GAUGAACGCUAGCGGCAGGCUUAACACAUGCAAGUCGAGGGGUAUAGUUCUUCGGAAUUAGAGACCGGCGCACGGGUGCGUAACGCGUAUGCAAUCUACCUUUCACAGAGGGAUAGCCCCAGAGAAAUUUGGAUUAAUACCUCAUAGUAUAGCAGUUUCGCAUGAAACCACUAUUAAAGUCACAACGGUGAAAGAUGAGCAUGCGUCCCAUUAGCUAGUUGGUAAGGUAACGGCUUACUAAGGCAACGAUGGGUAGGGGUCCUGAGAGGGAGAUCCCCCACACUGGUACUGAGACACGGACCAGACUCCUACGGGAGGCAGCAGUGAGGAAUAUUGGACAAUGGGCGCAAGCCUGAUCCAGCCAUGCCGCGUGCAGGAUGACGGUCCUAUGGAUUGUAAACUGCUUUUAUACAGGAAGAACACUACUUCGUGAAGUAGCUUGACGGUACUGUAAGAAUAAGGAUCGGCUAACUCCGUGCCAGCAGCCG